UUGGUUUAUCCCGUCUUUAUGAAUUUUGUAGUUUUUGUAGUCUUUGGCCCAAUUUCAAGGCCCAAUAAUACCAAACCCAUACCCCCUUAACCUAAAAAACUUUCUAUAUAACUUAAAACCAGUAUAAAAAUCCCUAGACCUACACAGACCUAGACCCUAAGAAUCAACGCCGUUCAACAUCAGAAACUGCCAUCCCCUCCCUGAACCUGAACAUCGAUUCUUCUUCAACAAAGAUCGAAAAAUGCCCAAGUAUGAGCAUCAGCUUCUUCAGCGUUUGAACACACGAGAAUACCCCCCCCCCCACCCCACCGUUCUGCUUCUUCCUUCAACCUUCCAAUGACCCCUCCUCUCCAAAAACACAGCAGCAACAACCACUAAGCCCGCCUGAAAUCCAUCUCCUCUCCAUCGUUACUGUCAUCGCCUCACAGCCGAAAUCCGGCGAAAAGACACUAGUAGCAAAAAGCUUAAAAUCAGCCGCAAAGAACAAGAACAGAACGCUCUCCUCCAUCUCCAAUAUCCAAUGACACCCAUCCUCUUCACCACCAAGCCAGCCGUCGACCACCUUGACCACCACUCCGAUGCCUCGCUCACGAACAGACCCUUCCCCCUAGUUUGCCUUUUCUUCUUUUCCUAUCCAUCAUCUCAAAACAAAUUCCUUCAAUCUCUCAUCCAUAAUACGCACGCAGAUACACAUAAAAACUGAUGAGGAAAAGUUGGAAAGAAAUUCCGAGAUCUAAGAAAACUGGAAAAAAGUCGCAAAUUGCUUCUGUCAUCUUCCUUGACUCUGAUUUUCAUUUCAUUGCUUGGUCUUGGGUUUGUUUGAAAGCAGAAGGGAGGACUAUUGUGUAGGGUUCUAUUUCAUCCGUGGCUAUUUUUUUUCAGAUCUAAGAUCUAUUUGCUGCUACUAGGUAUGUCAAAAUCCGCUUGGAGCUCCCUUUGAAUGUGCAAAUAAAGAUUUAAAGGAUUGUUUGAUUCCAUGGUUAUGUUUAAAUUAAUGAACUCUUUGGUUUUGUUUGUUUGGAUAUGUUUUUGUUUGGAAUCUUGUUUUAUUUUCUUAGUUCUUUAAUAAAUAUGUACUAUUGGUCUCUACUAUAUUAUGCUUUUGUAUUGUGAUAUUCCUUUUUGGUUUUGAUGAAGAUUCUAAAUUUGAUUAGUGAAUAAUUUGUAGAAAUUAAUCUUUUCGCUAGGAAAAUAUGUGGGCAAGUAAGAAAGUGUACUGUUUUUUGGCCUGUUUGGUUUGAAUUAUUUUGGAAAUUUAUUCUUAGAGAAAUGUUUAAAAUAUAAUCAAUUCAAUGAAGUAAUGAUUUUAUUUGCUCAAUAUCUUUUGGACAUUAACAAGACACUAAUUCUGAUUGUGAUAUGAGAUAUGUUUUGAAACAGGUAAAUUGAUCCAAACCAAAAAUACCCAUAUAGUAAACAAACAUUGUAGCUUGCUUUAGGCGUGCAUUAAAUCUAUCAUCCUGAUUGUGGACACGUUCGCGUGACAUAAUUACGAUUUUAAAAAACAAAAUCGGAGUAUGCGUUCGCGCAACUUCAACUAAAUUUUCUUAAUAAUAAUAAUAAAGCAUUAUUAAUUGUGGACACGUUUGUGUGACAUGAUUUUUGACGCGCCAAACAAAUGGGUGCACGUACGCGUGACCUGUUUCAAGAUAAUUUCCUAAUUAAAAGAGGCAAAUGCAUAUAUGUUCUAAAAUCAGUAAUCAAACAACUUAAAUUAGCCAAGUAUGAUCAAAGCGAUCGUGCUAGAACCACAGAACUCGGGAGUGCCUAACACCUUCUCUCGGGUUAACAGAAUUCCUUACCCGGAUUUCUGUGUUUCGCAGACAUUAAUACAGAGUCAAAUUUCCUCGAUUCGGGAUUCUAAACCGGUGACUUGGGACACCAUAAAUUAUCCCAAGUGGUGACUCUGAAUCUAAUAAAAAAUCCCGUUUUGAUUGUCACUUAAAUUGGAAAAAGCUCCUUUAUACCAUCCUGGGGGUAGUAAAAAGGAGGUGUGAUAGCCUUCUUUGUCUUGCUUCUUUUUCUUGUUGAAACUUGUAUUUAUCUUCUUAAUCUCUCAUUGUCUUUUACCAUAAAGAUGGAUAGACAUUCUUGCCUUAAGGCUUCUUAUCCAGAAGCUUGCAUAUUUUAGUACACCCAUGAUCUGCUAAGGAUCUUACAUUUACUUGUCGUAGGAAUCUUACAAAAAUCUAAUUUCUCUGACUCAGCUCUUCCACAACUAUCUCUCUUUCCAGUCCUUCUUUCCGGAUAUAGGUAUCGUCUUAUUAUGAAUAAAAAAAGAAUUUUGAAAUUUAAAUAAUUAUAAGUGAGGUCUACCACACUAUCUAGAGUAAGAAGAAAGACUGACAAUCCUAAAUGCCCUGAAGCCUCCUGCUAAUAAUGCGGUUCACAACACACCCAUAAACAAGACUCUACUAGACAUGGCUUGUAGACUCCCAAGGACAGAACUGCUCUGAUACCACUUUUGUCACGACCUAAACUGAUGGGUCGCGAUGGGCACCCGGUACCUUACUCAACUGAGUACCAAUGUGAUGUAUCUUUCUUAUUACAUCAUCAUAUACGCGUGACAUACGGGCCUAAUAAGCCAACAUGAUCAUUUAUAACUCAAAACAUAGGCCGAUAAGGCCGUAUAAUCUUUCACGUACACGACAUAUGUCUACAAGCCUCUAAGAGUACAUAAAUGUCAUAAAGUUCGGGACAGAGUCCCGCCAUACCAAACAAUGCAUGUCUAAAUCAUGCCAACCAAACAAGCAACUCCGAAGCAAAAUGGAGCUCACCAACAUCUUCCGCUGAGCUGAUAGCCUACUUGGAGGGCUCUCGACCUGUCUAUCGGGACCUGCCAACAUAUAACGCAGCAUCCCCAGGGAAAAGGGACGUCAGUAUGAAAAAUAUACCGAGUAUGUAAGGCAUAUAAAUAAGUACAUAACAGACAUGGAAGAAAUAUAGAGUAAUCGACUCAACCUGUAAAUCUGGAUAACUCUAUAAAUCAUGAAAUACUUUUAGCGUCAUGCAUAUGCGUAUGAAUGUCAUGUCAUGCAUAGGUACAUGUUUCAUAACAUCAUCAGCCUCUAAGGGCAUCCCAUCAUAUCAUAUCGGCCACUGUGGGCAAAAUCAUCAACGUAUANNNNNNNNNNNNNNNNNNNNNNNNNAAAGUACGUUAAUAAAAUCUUUUGGAAUGUCAUAAGAUCAUUUUGCCUUUGAGUAAUAUCAUAAAAUAAACUCUUUUCAACUUUCGUAUUUUUCUGAGACCCAUGAACAAACGAUAGAAUAAUAUGACACAUGAGGAAUCAAUAAUAUAAGCAUCUCCAAUAUUUUUAUGAAUAGUGUCAUGUAUGGAAAUUGUGCAUUUGCACGUUUUAUUUAUAUCGUAUGGAUCAUACCAAAAGAAAGAAGGGAUGACCUUAACAUACACGAACUAAUUCUCUUUUGCGAAAACACGUAACGGCGGAUCGAAGUAGAAAAAUAAAUCUGUAUGUUAUCCUUGAGAAAGUUUGUACUGGGCUUUCUUUGAAUUAGCAUUUCAUGUUGGACUUUGUAGCAUUUCAGAGAACUUCACGUUUGGAUAUUGCAAUAUUCCAGAGAGUCUCACGUUUUGGAUUUUCAAAGACUCUCACAUUUAG
This 3620-nucleotide long non-coding RNA is filed under the name Nicotiana tabacum (common tobacco). RNAcentral's name for it is "long non-coding RNA (NTAB_LNC019641)". The record is from RNAcentral. Lineage: Eukaryota; Viridiplantae; Streptophyta; Magnoliopsida; Solanales; Solanaceae.